This 504-nucleotide ribosomal RNA is filed under the name uncultured fungus. RNAcentral's name for it is "SSU rRNA". It matches the Rfam family "Eukaryotic small subunit ribosomal RNA", at positions 248 to 755 of the family's 1831-position model. The record is from RNAcentral. Lineage: Eukaryota; Fungi.
GAUUCAUGAUAACUCCUCGAAUCGCAUGGCCUUGCGCCGGCGAUGGUUCAUUCAAAUUUCUUCCCUAUCAACUUUCGAUGUUUGGGUAUUGGCCAAACAUGGUUGCAACGGGUAACGGAGGGUUAGGGCUCGACCCCGGAGAAGGAGCCUGAGAAACGGCUACUACAUCCAAGGAAGGCAGCAGGCGCGCAAAUUACCCAAUCCCGACUCGGGGAGGUAGUGACAAUAAAUACUGAUACAGGGCUCUUUUGGGUCUUGUAAUUGGAAUGAGUACAAUUUAAAUCCCUUAACGAGGAACAAUUGGAGGGCAAGUCUGGUGCCAGCAGCCGCGGUAAUUCCAGCUCCAAUAGCGUAUAUUAAAGUUGUUGUGGUUAAAAAGCUCGUAGUUGAACCUUGGGCCUGGCUGGCCGGUCCGCCUCACCGCGUGUACUGGUCCGGCCGGGCCUUUCCCUCUGUGGAACCCCAUGCCCUUCACUGGGUGUGGCGGGGAACCAAGACUUUUAC